UAUGUGAUCGUCUCUCGCAUAUCAAUAAGCGGAGGAAAAGAAACUAACAAGGAUUCCCCUAGUAACGGCGAGUGAAGCGGGAAGAGCUCAAAUUUGAAAUCUUAAAGGGUUUCCCUUUACGAAUUGUAGUUUAAAGAAGUGUUUUCUGUUGAGGUUUUGGUAAAAGUUCUUUGGAAUAGGACAUCAUAGAGGGUGAGAAUCCCGUAUUUGACCUUUACUUUCAACUUUGUGAUACACUUUCAAAGAGUCGGAUUGUUUGGGAAUGCAGUCCAAAAUGGGUGGUAAAUUUCAUCUAAAGCUAAAUAUUGGCGAGAGACCGAUAGCGAACAAGUACCGUGAGGGAAAGAUGAAAAGAACUUUGAAAAGAGAGUUAAACAGUACGUGAAAUUGUCAAAAGGGAAGCGUUUGACACCAGUGUUGUUUUUCUGAAAAUCAAUUAAAGAACUGUUUAUGCUAAGCUGUUUAGACUUUAUCAGCUAACUGUUUAGUUUUGAGCUUUUCUUUAAUGCACUUUUCAGUUAACAAGUCAACAUCAAUUUCUUUUGCUGUAAAAAAGCUUGAGGAAGGUGGCUUGAGAUUCGUCUUAAGUGUUUAUAGCCUCUUGCCUAUGCAGUCGGAGAGAUUGAGGUCUGCAGCGUAGAUCCUUCGGGGCUAAACGCAUUUGUGCUAAGUUAUAGCAGUUUUAUAGACAACUUGUUGACUAUGAUUUGUCUUGUAGCUUACUCGCUUAUGUUAUUUUACCUACGCUUAGGAUGUUGAUCUGUAGUGCGUGCGC
This 775-nucleotide ribosomal RNA is filed under the name uncultured Neocallimastigales. Its description in RNAcentral is "partial large subunit ribosomal RNA". It matches the Rfam family "Eukaryotic large subunit ribosomal RNA", at positions 24 to 646 of the family's 3401-position model. The record is from RNAcentral. Lineage: Eukaryota; Fungi; Neocallimastigomycota; Neocallimastigomycetes; Neocallimastigales.